RNAcentral lists this ribosomal RNA (227 nucleotides) under Tricentrus sp. Tri. RNAcentral describes it as "partial 28S ribosomal RNA". It matches the Rfam family "Eukaryotic large subunit ribosomal RNA", at positions 1648 to 1871 of the family's 3401-position model. The record is from RNAcentral. Lineage: Eukaryota; Metazoa; Arthropoda; Insecta; Hemiptera; Membracidae.
ACCCAAAAAGACCCGGAGACGCCGUCGGGAGAUCCGGAGAGASUUUUCUUUUCUCUAUAAGCGUUCGAGUUCCAUGGAAUCCUUUAGCAGGGCGAUAUGGUUUGGAACGCGAAGAGCACCGCAGUUGCGGCGGUGUCCGGAUCUUCCCCUCGGACCUUGAAAAUCCGGGAGAGGGCCACGUGGAAUGCUCGCACCGGAUCGUACCCAUAUCCGCAGCAGGUGUCCAA